AUUGAACGCUGGCGGCAGGCUUAACACAUGCAAGUCGAGCGGAGAUGAGGUGCUUGCACCUUAUCUUAGCGGCGGACGGGUGAGUAAUGCUUAGGAAUCUGCCUAUUAGUGGGGGACAACAUUCCGAAAGGAGUGCUAAUACCGCAUACGUCCUACGGGAGAAAGCAGGGGAUCUUCGGACCUUGCGCUAAUAGAUGAGCCUAAGUCGGAUUAGCUAGUUGGUGGGGUAAAGGCCUACCAAGGCGACGAUCUGUAGCGGGUCUGAGAGGAUGAUCCGCCACACUGGGACUGGAACACGGCCCAGACUCCUACGGGAGGCAGCAGUGGGGAAUAUUGGACAAUGGGGGGAACCCUGAUCCAGCCAUGCCGCGUGUGUGAAGAAGGCCUUAUGGUUGUAAAGCACUUUAAGCGAGGAGGAGGCUACUGAGACUAAUACUCUUGGAUAGUGGACGUUACUCGCAGAAUAAGCACCGGCUAACUCUGUGCCAGCCGCCGCAGUAA
RNAcentral lists this ribosomal RNA (501 nucleotides) under uncultured bacterium. RNAcentral describes it as "partial 16S ribosomal RNA". It matches the Rfam family "Bacterial small subunit ribosomal RNA", at positions 30 to 523 of the family's 1533-position model. The record is from RNAcentral.